RNAcentral lists this long non-coding RNA (292 nucleotides) under Mytilus galloprovincialis (Mediterranean mussel). The record is from RNAcentral. Lineage: Eukaryota; Metazoa; Mollusca; Bivalvia; Mytilida; Mytilidae.
GGUUGGGAUACCGCUAACAUGUUUAACCCCGCCACAUUAUUUAUGUAUGUGCCUGUCCCAAGUCAGGAGCCUGUAAUUCAGUGGUUGUCGUUUGUUUAUGUGUUACAUAUUUGUUUUUCGUUCAUUUUUUUUAUAUAAAUAAGGCCGUUAGUUUUCUCGUUUGAAUUGUUUUACAUUGUCAUAUCGGGGCCUUUUAUAGCUGACUAUGCGGUAUGGGCUUUGCUCAUUGUUGAAGGCCGUACGGUGACCUAUAGUUCUUAAAUUCUGUGUUAUUUUGGUCUCUUGUGGACAG